Non-coding RNA from Pygoscelis adeliae (Adelie penguin), 46 nucleotides. The record is from Rfam. NCBI's taxonomy places the organism in Eukaryota, Metazoa, Chordata, Aves, Sphenisciformes, Spheniscidae.
GAACCGGUUGUUUUUACAACCAUAGAAAUGAAAGCAGUGAAUUUUG